UGAAGAAUAUUGGACAAUGGAGGAAACUCUGAUCCAGCCAUGCCGCGUGAGUGAAGACGGCCUUAGGGUUGUAAAGCUCUUUCAUAUGCGAAGAUAAUGACGGUAACAUAAGAAGAAGCCCCGGCUAAAUUCGUGCCAGCAGCCGCGGUAAUACGAAUGGGGCAAGCGUUGUUCGGAAUCACUGGGCUUAAAGCGUGCGUAGGCGGAAAUGAAAGUCAGAAGUGAAAGCCCAGGGCUCAACCCUGGAACUGCUUUUGAAACUCCAUUUCUAGAAUCCGGUAGAGGUCAGGAGAAUUCCUAGUGUAGAGGUGAAAUUCGCAGAUAUUAGGAGGAAUACCAGUGGCGUAGGCGCCUGACUGGGCCGGUAUUGACGCUGAGGUACGAAAGCGUGGGGAGCAAACAGG
Molecule: ribosomal RNA, 404 nt
Filed under: uncultured bacterium
Lineage: Bacteria
Description: bacterial SSU rRNA
Rfam family: Bacterial small subunit ribosomal RNA
Source: RNAcentral